GAGAAGGCUGUGUUGAGAGCAAGAGCUGCAAGUCGUAAUUGAUCUCAUUCCAAUCACAAUUUGUUAAUUUAUUGAUCUAGUUAGCUGCUUGAAUAUGCAUGCCAUCAUUGUGUGGCAAUAGCAUCCACUCGAGGAUAACAGGGUGAGCAACCACUUCACUGAGCAUUUGUGAUUUCACAAUGAGUGUAAUGCAUGUACAACCUCGGAUAUCAAAGGUGCAAGGCAAAA
Molecule: unclassified non-coding RNA, 228 nt
Filed under: Hevea brasiliensis (rubber tree)
Lineage: Eukaryota; Viridiplantae; Streptophyta; Magnoliopsida; Malpighiales; Euphorbiaceae
Source: RNAcentral